ACUCAGCACAAUCACACGCUAAUUAACACAACCACUCUCAACGUACACACCCAAUUACACGCAUGUAUGCAUUCAUGUAUACACUCGCACACACAGGCACACACAUACGCACACACACACACACUUAAGAGCUACCUGUUCCUGAACAAUUUCAGUUUCCAUGUCCCACUGCAAAGGCUCUCUUUAGUUAGUCCAGCCUACCUUCAUACUGCAGGUUAAAAAAGUGAUGACAAUAUAGGCACAUGUCCAGUCCAUUUGAUGAGAGAUACCAUAGGUUGAGACAGGUCUCUGACUGGAGUCUAAAUCUGGGACCCCCAUACACACUUAGCAGAAACACAUGCUAAUUAAAAAAACACUCUCAACAUACACAUGCCCUCUAUAUACAGUAGUUAAUCACGUAUACAUUCACAUGCACACACUUAAGCACACACACUCGCGAUAACCUAUCCCUGAACACUUUCGGUUUCCAUUUCCCACACUAAAGGCUUUCGAAGUUAGUCCAGCCCCCUACAGUAAUACUGUACAAAAGUACAAAAGUGAGAACAAUUCAUGCAUCCAGUUCAUUUGAUGACAGACACUAUAGGACGACACAGACAACUGACUGCACAUCUUACCAAAAACCCAGGUCUGCUAUGGGGAGCUACAGUAAAAACUCCAGAAAGAUCCCACAACUAUACACAGUCCAGCAGUUAAAAGACGUGAAGUUUGGUCACCGGUUUCCUCGACAUGGACUGAAGCUCCUGCACUGGCUGGCCAAUGAUAUGAUCAAGUUUGACAAUAACAAAAAGAUGUGGGCACAGCACAACCCCAACAAUGGAGAUUUUGGGUUUCACCCCUUCCACAACGCAGAGGGGAUCCUGCCUCCUCCCCCAUCCCAGAGCGAGUACUUUGAGGUGGGGAACUUGCAUUCUUCAAAUGCCACGUCUCUGCCAUUCAAGCAAGAUCAAUCUGGGAACAGUGAAAGUAACACAGAUCGCAUCAUCCUGAGUUUGUACUCGAAUAUGAUGAUCGGCAGUGUCUACAUCACUGAGCACACACCUCACAACUUACAAUUCAGUGCUGAGGACACUUACCUCCUUAGCAACAACCUCAUCAGGUCCAUAAAAGAUAAGAGCCUGGAUAAUUUCCUAAUGAAGGCUGGGUAUGAUCGGGGUGAGAAUGUCCCUGACAAAAAAGUUCCAAAUAAGAUUGUCCAAGAUGAUUCAGGCCACCCGAAAGAUCCCUGUUGCACUAUACUGUAGACUAUAAAUGUUUAAGAACAAAUUCAACUUGGGUAUGAUACAUUUUACUAUGGCUUUUGAUAGUGCAGUCUACUACGUGGGUGCAAACGGUAGAUCUAAUUUCUUUUUUUUGUAAACUAUAUAUUUUUUAAACGGCAGGGCAUACACAAGUUCAGAGAUGAGCACUCAUUUCUUUUUAUAAACAGAACAAUGAUUCUAAGUCGGUGGCUUAAAAUGAAAAUGCAUUAUGAGAUUUUUUUGUCCAUAUUCUUUAUUCAAUUUCAUAAAAUAUGUACCUCAGAUAAAGAUGUGCUUAAUAAACUCAAAUCAGUUAUGAUUAUUUCAAAAAAUGUUUCCUUGUUUUUGAAUUGUGGUCCUUCUGUGGAAGUGAUGUCUGUGAAUAGACUAUGAUCUUUCUUGUCGAGCAGUACUGCGAAGACGCCUCAGUUUCUGCAGCUUCGGCACCGUCUCCACUGCCUUACGCUGUGCAGGUUUAUUUCUCUCAAAGGCACGAAUCCUGACGAGAUUAUAUUUCUCCAGCAGGGGUCACUGUCUGAAAGAUUUGUGAAGAUUCAAUCCAGCAUCCUUAACAGAUUUAAAAUUUUUUUAAAUUGACUGACCAAUGAAGUGAAAAGCACAUUUGACUUUUAAGGUGACAUUCUCUAAACAGCAAGUUACCUUAUUCAGUUGCCUUAGACCAGUUACAUAUCUUAGCAUCACAAAAUUUUGAGUUACAAUCUUUUAUUUAUAAACUUGUAGCAAAGUGCAAAGUGCAGUAUAUCAUGGUCUUACAUAUACUCCAUUUGUUAUUCUGCUCCACUCCCAACCCCAAUCGUACCAGAUCAGCCAUAAGAAAAUUAUGCACUAGUUUGCCUUUAUCUGUCAUCACAGGAGUAUCCUUGGUAUCUGCCAUUUUAGUGAAUCCCCAAAGGUUUUUGUAAGGACCAGAUUCAAUGAAAAUCUGCUACUCCUAGAAUUGUAAAAA
Molecule: long non-coding RNA, 2205 nt
Organism: Anguilla anguilla (European eel)
Lineage: Eukaryota; Metazoa; Chordata; Actinopteri; Anguilliformes; Anguillidae
Exons: 2
Source: RefSeq, a predicted model, not a curated record